This is a long non-coding RNA of Bombyx mori (domestic silkworm), 414 nucleotides long. RefSeq lists it as uncharacterized. The record is from RefSeq and is a predicted model, not a curated record. Lineage: Eukaryota; Metazoa; Arthropoda; Insecta; Lepidoptera; Bombycidae. The transcript is spliced from 2 exons.
GACAUAUUCACCUGUCUUGUUCUAAAUGUUUAAGUUUAUAUAUUUGGAAGAAAAUUCUUAAAAUUGAGUUCAAACCAGAAGCUAAGUUUAAUUCCAGCCAUGAAAUAAGUUAAAAAGGAUGGGACAGCCGGAUUUAGCGAAAUAUUUUGCGAUCAACUUAGUUACAAAUUUCUAAGGAUUUGCAUUUUACAUGCCGAUGUGGGAUACUAUUUUCAGAAUGAAAAGUGAUGGUAGCGCUUCCUCGUAGCGACUGACAAAAAGAAAACAAAAACCCAAGGAAAAAUUAACUUUCUCAACUUAUUUUCCUGUAGAUUAUGAUGUGAUAAUGCUAAUGCAAUAGCAAACUAAUAACAAACCAAUCUAAAAAUAGUUAAAAGAUUCUAUUAUUGAAUUAAAAUCUUACAAUUAAUUAAA